UACGUAGGGUGCGAGCGUUGUCCGGAAUUAUUGGGCGUAAAGAGCUCGUAGGCGGUCUGUCGCGUCGGUCGUGAAAACCUGCAGCUUAACUGUGGGCGUGCGGUCGAUACGGGCAUCACUGGAGUUCGGCAGGGGAGACUGGAAUUCCUGGUGUAGCGGUGAAAUGCGCAGAUAUCAGGAGGAACACCGGUGGCGAAGGCGGGUCUCUGGGCCGAUACUGACGCUGAGGAGCGAAAGCGUGGGGAGCAAACAGG
This 254-nucleotide ribosomal RNA is filed under the name uncultured bacterium. RNAcentral describes it as "partial 16S ribosomal RNA". It matches the Rfam family "Bacterial small subunit ribosomal RNA", at positions 524 to 776 of the family's 1533-position model. The record is from RNAcentral.